Molecule: ribosomal RNA, 478 nt
Filed under: uncultured bacterium
Lineage: Bacteria
Description: partial 16S ribosomal RNA
Rfam family: Bacterial small subunit ribosomal RNA
Source: RNAcentral
GACGAACGCUGGCGGCGUGCUUAACACAUGCAAGUCGAACGGUAAGGCCCUUCGGGGUACACGAGUGGCGAACGGGUGAGUAACACGUGGGUGAUCUGCCCUGCACUUCGGGAUAAGCCUGGGAAACUGGGUCUAAUACCGGAUAGGACCACUGCCUGCAUGGGUGGUGGGGGAAAGCUUUUGCGGUGUGGGAUGGGCCCGCGGCCUAUCAGCUUGUGGGUGGGGUGAUGGCCUACCAAGGCGACGACGGGUAGCCGGCCUGAGAGGGUGACCGGCCACACUGGGACUGAGAUACGGCCCAGACUCCUACGGGAGGCAGCAGUGGGGAAUAUUGCACAAUGGGCGCAAGCCUGAUGCAGCGACGCUGCGUGAGGGAUGACGGCCUUCGGGUUGUAAACCUCUUUCAGCACCGACGAAGCGCAAGUGACGGUAGGUGCAGAAGAAGGACCGGCCAACUACGUGCCAGCCGCCGCAGUAA